ACUUCACUCAUUAGCUGCAUGAGAGGAGAAAAUUGAAAAUUCAACAUUAAAAGAAAGUAGCUAAGUAUUGGCUACAGGAAUGACAAAAUUAUUCAUGUGCUGAAAUUCUGAUGGUUAUACACAUAAUUGUCUGGCAUACAAUUAAAAUAUGAACCAAUAUUGAAAUUAUAAAAUGAAAAAGUAAUUAAAAAAAAAAGGAGGAAGCAAUACUUUUUGCAAGUUACAUGCAAAAAUUUUUUAUUAAAAAAAAUGAUAAAGAUGGGACUAAUUCAUAACAGGGGUUGUUUCCUGACCUAAUUCGAUAUAUAGGUCAAUGAAGUAGGCUCUGGGAAGCUCCACCAUGCAAUAUGGGAGUGUGAGAAAGGGAUGGCAACAUGUGGAAUUAACUACAUAGUUUAGACCAAUUGACUUCUUGUAUAAGUUGUCCAUUCCUCUACUCUAGUUGAAUUCUACUAAACGAAGGGCUCAUAAUAA
RNAcentral lists this unclassified non-coding RNA (474 nucleotides) under Hevea brasiliensis (rubber tree). Lineage: Eukaryota; Viridiplantae; Streptophyta; Magnoliopsida; Malpighiales; Euphorbiaceae. The record is from RNAcentral.